Molecule: transfer RNA, 75 nt
Filed under: Megasphaera hominis
Lineage: Bacteria; Bacillati; Bacillota; Negativicutes; Veillonellales; Veillonellaceae
Also listed under: 7 other names
Description: tRNA-Ile
Rfam family: tRNA
About the family: Transfer RNA (tRNA) molecules are approximately 80 nucleotides in length.
Source: RNAcentral
GGGCCUAUAGCUCAGCGGUAGAGCCCCCGGCUCAUAACCGGUUGGUCCUUGGUUCGAAUCCAAGUAGGCCCACCA